UAAUAAGGGUUUACUAAUUGCUAUUAAAUCCUUAUUUUAAAUUUUUAAAAAUGUUAAAACUAACUUUUCAUAAUUAAUUAUGGAUUUCAAAUUUAUAUAUAAUUAUUUUUUUCAAUUUGUAAAUGAAUAUCGAUGGGGUGUUUAUUUAAUAAUUAGAAAUAAGGUAAAUUAGGUAAAUUGUGCUUUUAUUUCAAUAUCACUUUCAAUAUAAAAAGUGGAUUUUAUGAUAAUAAGAUACAUGCAAAGUAGGUUUAUUCAGAAGCUCUAGCUUCAACAUGCAGAAAAGCACUUUACUCUCCAAGUUUUAUUUAUUCAUAGUACUUCUUGGUGUUAACUUCUUUCAAUAGUCCAUCUGUUGUAUCUGCAAAAAG
RNAcentral lists this long non-coding RNA (371 nucleotides) under Phaseolus vulgaris (common bean). Its description in RNAcentral is "long non-coding RNA (PVUL_LNC000011)". The record is from RNAcentral. Lineage: Eukaryota; Viridiplantae; Streptophyta; Magnoliopsida; Fabales; Fabaceae.